Molecule: ribosomal RNA, 382 nt
Filed under: uncultured eukaryote
Lineage: Eukaryota
Description: partial 18S ribosomal RNA
Rfam family: Eukaryotic small subunit ribosomal RNA
Source: RNAcentral
CAAUAGCGUAUAUUAAAGUUGUUGCAGUUAAAAAGCUCGUAGUUGGAUUUCUGGAUGGAGCGACCGGUCGGGCAUUAAUUUGUCUGCACUGGAGUCGGUUCCGUCCAUCCUCUUGGAAAGUGCGUCGGGCAUUAAGUUGUUUGGCGUAUGAUCCAAGUCGUUUACUGUGAAAAAAUUAGAGUGUUUAAAGCAGGCCUUCGCCUUGAAUACAUUAGCAUGGAAUAAUAAGAUAGGACUUCGGUCUAUUUUGUUGGUUUGCAGACCGAAGUAAUGAUUAAUAGGGAUAGUUGGGGGUAUUUAUAUUCCGAUGUCAGAGGUGAAAUUCUUAGAUUUUCGGAAGAUAAACUUAUGCGAAAGCAUUUACCAAGGAUGUUUUCAUUAA